AAUAUUGCACAAUGGAGGAAACUCUGAUGCAGCGACGCCGCGUGAACGAUGAAGGCCUUCGGGUCGUAACGUUCUGUCCUAGGGGACGAUAAUGACGGUACCCUAGGAGGAAUCCCCGGCUAACUACGUGCCAGCAGCCGCGGUAAUACGUAGGGGGCAAGCGUUGUCCGGAAUUAUUGGGCGUAAAGCGCGCGCAGGCGGUCUGGAAAGUCGGAUGUGAAAUCUCGGGGCUCACCCCCGAGCCUGCAUACGAAACUUCCAGACUUGAGAGCAAGAGAGGGGAGUGGAAUUCCUAGUGUAGCGGUGAAAUGCGUAGAUAUUAGGAGGAACACCAGUGGCGAAGGCGACUCCCUGGCUUGCAACUGACGCUGAGGCGCGAAAGCGUGGGUAGCGAACAGG
This 399-nucleotide ribosomal RNA is filed under the name uncultured bacterium. RNAcentral describes it as "partial 16S ribosomal RNA". It matches the Rfam family "Bacterial small subunit ribosomal RNA", at positions 360 to 776 of the family's 1533-position model. The record is from RNAcentral.